This 575-nucleotide long non-coding RNA is filed under the name Homo sapiens (human). Its description in RNAcentral is "HSALNT0396072". Lineage: Eukaryota; Metazoa; Chordata; Mammalia; Primates; Hominidae. The record is from RNAcentral.
GAAAACAGAGGUGGGGGUGUCUGGUGAAGUGGACCUUGCUGCCUGCCUAACAGACGAACUGCACCUGCCUGGGAGCCCUACCUCUUCAGUAUCUCCCCCAAACACGCCCAGACACCUAAGCAGAUAGGAAUGUCAAGAUCUUCAGUGAAAACUGUUUUGGUGAUGGAAGACAGCCACCAGGAAACCCUGCCGAAAGAAUGGGUCAGAUCAAUAAUCUGAGCGGUCCCAGUCCUCCUCCAAUGGCUGAUGGAUGAGGAAGUCAAAUCUGCUGCUUCAAGGAUCAAAGUCUAUGUCCACUGAGGGUGUUUGGAGAAUGUGUUGCAAUCUCUGAAGGCAAUCCCAAGAGAGGCAUUCCAGAGAGGUUUUCAGCCAGGGGUGGCCCAGCAGGAAGUCACUCUGAAAACUCAGGUUUACACAACAUCUACUUGUACAAUCAAGCACACACUCUCAGGCUGCAUGAAGUACUGUCGCAGACAGGACUGCAAACCCUCUCAGGGCCCUGGGGUUCCCCUAAACCAGACCGUGAGCCUCUUGAGACGGCGGAUCCCCAACAGUGCCCAGAACCUGGGAAGGAG